Molecule: long non-coding RNA, 1638 nt
Organism: Melanaphis sacchari
Lineage: Eukaryota; Metazoa; Arthropoda; Insecta; Hemiptera; Aphididae
Exons: 3
Source: RefSeq, a predicted model, not a curated record
AAUAAUGAAUGUUGUACCAUAAAAGUAUCACUCAGUUAUCACUUAUCAGUUUGUGUAUGUCGCAUUGCCAUAUCGCGUAUACGAAAACAUAAUAUUGUGUUGAUUUUUAUUUGCGUGUCUUAACUUUUGGUGGCUACUAUUUUAUUAGUACUAUAAAGUAGGUGGUACACUGCAGUUGUGGUAUAGGUACCUACGUAGAAUUUUAAUUUAUACUAUAUUAAAAAAAUCAAUUAACAACCGUGACCCAACGAACGACGACUGUAUACAUUGAUAAUCAUUCCGUGCAUCACAUUUGUUACGUUAUUAUAUAUUUUAUAAUAAUGUCAAUUAUGGAUUAGUAAUUACCUGCUGGCUGCUACACACACACACACACACACACACAAUAUAUGUCUUUAAAUUUCGAGUAGGUCGAAGGAAGGCGAAAACUCUAAGACGCUGUAUUUGCUAUAAUGUAUAGGUAGGAGGUACCUACAUACAUACACAAACAACUCGAUAUAAUAAUUUGAUGUAUUUUCAUUUUAUCUAGCUAUAAGAUGUAUAAUAUGCUAUAUGUAUGAAUAAAAUUCUUCGUUAUUAUGUUUGUCCUUUCGAUAACGGACUGUCAUAUAACUAUAGGAACAAUGCAAAUACAUUUUUUCUUAUUCUUAAAACUAUUAAUUUAUUAGGAUUUAUUUAAAUAUUUUUCAGUGAUUAUAAUGUGCAUAUUACAUUUACACUAUAUACAGUAUACAGGUAAUCAAAGAGAUGAAAACAUUAGCCGAGUAUGAUAUGAAAAUUUCAACAAUCUGUACCUACAUUUUAUUAGUACAAUAAGCUGAAGAGAUGGAUGGAUAUAGAACUUUAUUGACAUGAAUAUAUGAAGGGACCAUCCAGCGACGGCACUUCAGCGAUGGGAGUUACUUAUUAAUUUAUUACUUAUUAGUUGUAAUUGUGGCAUGCAGGUACUGUGUAGGCUUAGCUGAGGAAAUCCCGAAGCCACUGGCGCUUGAGUCUUUUAAUAGGAUUUCAAGGAGUGUGAUUGAGGAUAGAUUAUGUAUAAGACGAUUUGUAUAGUUAGGAAGGCAUUUGUAGAAACGUGUGUAAUUAAUUUUGGCUACUGCCUACUUUGUUUAUCGCGGGAAUUUUUAGGUCUGUGUGUAGAGUAUGGUUGGAGACGUAUGGAGGGGUAUUAGUAAUUAAUUGGAAUAUUUGAAUUUUUUGUAUAUUCGUUUUUUUUGGCAGAGCCCCAGAUUUGGAUGCCGUAAGUCCAUAUGGAUUUGAGAAAUAAAUUAUAAAGGGUAAUUUUGGUUUUUAUAUUAAGCUUUGAGGAUUUUCCUAGGAUGUUGCCGUUGCGAUGGAGUGAGAGUCUGCAGUCAAGUGAAAUUUUUAUGCUAUGGAUAUGUUUAACUCAUGCUAUUCUUUUGUCAAAGAGAAUAUCCAGGUAUUUAUCGGUAUCAGAAUUUGGGAUGAGUUUAUUAUUUAAAGAAACAGAUAGCGGUGGUCGUUGUUUGAGAGUGAAGGAAGUAGAGAUUGAUUUGGAUUCAUUUAUUUUUACCUUCCACUGAGAGUACCAAGAGGAGAGAUAUGGGUUUGUAACAGUAAUAUUAUUAUAAUUAUUAGUAUAAUAUUAUAUUAUUAUUACAUUAUUAUAUUUCGGAA